RNAcentral lists this ribosomal RNA (888 nucleotides) under Triticum aestivum (bread wheat). RNAcentral describes it as "partial small subunit ribosomal RNA". Lineage: Eukaryota; Viridiplantae; Streptophyta; Magnoliopsida; Poales; Poaceae. The record is from RNAcentral.
AUGGAAUUGAGUUUGUCUCAUACGCUUUAUCUUUUUAAUAUCUAUCGUGAGAAUAAGGAUUCCGAUAAUUGUGCUCAAGUGCUAGAAGAAGAAUGCAUUAAAAUAUUUGGCACUAAAUAUUUGAAUGAUGAGCAUGAUUGCAAUGUUGUUAGUAUUAAUUCCUUGGAUAUCUAUGAUGCUAAUGAUAUGCAAAGCCACAAGCUUGGGGAAGCUAUGUUUAAUGAAGAUGAUAUUUUUUGUCCCCCAAGCUUUGAUGAGCAAAUUUCCUAUGAUGAAAGUGUGCCUCCUAUUUAUGAUGAUUAUAUUGAUGAAAGUGGAUUUGGAGAGGCCAUGACUUUAUUUUGUGAUGAAUCCACUAUUUCGGAAGAGGUUCCAAUUGAUUAUGAGAACAAACUUGCUAUCUAUGAUGAUUAUUGUGAUGACUUGUAUGCUAUAAAGAAUAAUGAUAUCCAUGAAACUUGUCAUCAUGAUUUUAGUUUUCAAUUGGAUUAUGCCUCACAUGAUAAUUAUUUUGUUGAGUUUGCUCCCACUAUUAUUCAUGAGAAGAAUUUUGCUUGUGUGGAGAGUAGUAAAUUUUCUAUGCUUGUAGAUCAUGAAAAGAAUGCUUUAUGUGAUGGUUAUAUUGUUGAAUUCAUUCAUGAUGCUACUGAAAAUUAUUAUGAGGGAGGAACAUAUGCUUGUAGGAAUUGCAAUAAUAUCAAGUUUCCUCUCUAUGGGCUUAAGGUUUUGAAGUUUUGCUUGCUUUACCUUCCUAUGCAAGUUGAUUCUUGUUCCCAUAAGUUGUUUGCUCACAAAAUCCCUAUGCAUAGGAAGUAUGUUAGACUUAAAUGUGCUAGUCAUAUUCUUCAUGAUUCUCUCUUUAUGUUACAAUUCUUAUCCUUCAUGUGA